RNAcentral lists this small nuclear RNA (23 nucleotides) under Arabidopsis thaliana (thale cress). RNAcentral describes it as "snRNA_13376". Lineage: Eukaryota; Viridiplantae; Streptophyta; Magnoliopsida; Brassicales; Brassicaceae. The record is from RNAcentral.
CUACUAAACGUAAUUAUAGGGAA